UACGUAGGUGGCAAGCGUUGUCCGGAUUUAUGGGGUUUAAAGGGUGCGUAGGCGGUCUUUUAAGUCAGUGGUGAAAUACUUCAGCUUAACUGGAGAGGUGCCAUUGAUACUGGGAGACUUGAGUACUGAUGAGGUAGGCGGAAUGGACGGUGUAGCGGUGAAAUGCUUAGAUAUCGUCCAGAACACCGAUAGCGAAGGCAGCUUACUAAGGAGUAACUGACGCUGAGGCACGAAAGUGUGGGGAUCAAACAGG
This 253-nucleotide ribosomal RNA is filed under the name uncultured bacterium. RNAcentral's name for it is "partial 16S ribosomal RNA". It matches the Rfam family "Bacterial small subunit ribosomal RNA", at positions 524 to 776 of the family's 1533-position model. The record is from RNAcentral.